GGCCGUGUGGCGUAAUGGCAGCGCAUCUGACUACGAGACGCUAGCAAGUGCUAGGUCAACAAAGUAAUCAGGAGGUUGCAGGUUCGACCCCUGUCUCGGUCA
RNAcentral lists this transfer RNA (102 nucleotides) under Ophiocordyceps unilateralis. It matches the Rfam family "tRNA". From Rfam's summary of the family: Transfer RNA (tRNA) molecules are approximately 80 nucleotides in length. Their secondary structure includes four short double-helical elements and three loops (D, anti-codon, and T loops). The record is from Rfam by way of RNAcentral. Lineage: Eukaryota; Fungi; Ascomycota; Sordariomycetes; Hypocreales; Ophiocordycipitaceae.